RNAcentral lists this long non-coding RNA (1649 nucleotides) under Junco hyemalis (dark-eyed junco). RNAcentral's name for it is "lncRNA (ENSJHYG00000013113.1)". The record is from RNAcentral. Lineage: Eukaryota; Metazoa; Chordata; Aves; Passeriformes; Passerellidae.
UACCCUGGUGCCCCGACAACUGGUGCCCCGUGUGAGGAAGCCCCGUCCGAGGAUGUAGAAUAGAAGAAAAAAAAGAAAAAUCGUGGAUUUUCCCGGCCGCUGGAGACCCAAGUGUUAAUCAAGAGGAUGCUGUAUCAUCUCUCCUGUCGAAGCCAAGGAGUUUGUAAGUAACUUUUCUCGGGAGAGGCUUGGGUAACAAGAAAAUGAAAAUGGGAACAAAGUUAUCAAAAGUUGGAUGUUACAAGAGACUGUAUCAAAAGACAAUGUUACAAGAAAAAGGUCUUUCUGAAGUCUCAAAAACUGAACUUAAAAAUUUACUUACAUGGGUUAAAACAAAUACGCAAGAUUUAAAUUUACAGUCUGCCUUUACUUUACAUUUUUGGGAUCAGAUAAACUGGAGAAUAUAUAAUUUAGUCUCUCUCAAAAAAGAUGAAAGCUUAAGAGCAAUUAUGCCAACUUCUAAGGUGAACUCGGACUCAGAAAACAAAGCUUCUGGCUCUGUCUCUUUAAAUUCCAGUAAACCAGAGACUGUAUGUGUUUCGGAGAAUGUAACAAAUGUUGUUUCAAAUGCUGAUUUGAACUCCACUGAGAAAAAUCUUCCUUCUCUCUCUUUGGGAAAAAAUGAGACUUUUUCAGACUCUUCGUCGCGUUGUUCUGUUGAUGUAAAAAUAUGUGACUCUUGUAAGGGGGAAGGGACAAAAUGUGUAGAAAAUUUAAAUGAAAAAGUGAAUGUAUUUCCUAAGAUUGGUUGUGCAGGGACACUGAAAGCUGGUUUAGAUUGUGAUAUGCCUGAAGUGGAAACUGAGGGUGUUUCUUCAACUCGGGAAAUUUUGGUCCCUGUGGGUUCUGGGAAUUCUUUUUCAGUUAAGCAAAAACCUGGUUUUUAUGGUAAUUGUCAAUCCAUAGGUACAGAGAAAGAAAAAUUUGCUUUAAUUCAAAGGGUGGAGUCCUUUGAAAGGAUGGAUAACUCUCAAAAACCUGAAAAAACACGGGUUGAGUUUUUUCCUCAUUGUUGUGAUCCUAAUUCUUGUAUUUUAAAACAAAACCAUGUAAGUUUAAAACCUAAAUUUGUAUAUUCCUCAGCUGAGUUUUUCUUAGCAAAGAGACAAUGUGAAACUUGUGGUAAAGUGGCAAAUUCAAGGUUAAAAUGUGGCAAUGUUCCCAGAACAGGGGAACACGCCUCUGUCUCGGCCCCUUUGGGCCGGGCUUCGGAGGAAGCGUGUUGUUUGUUGGAGUCCACCCCUGCCUUUCAUGGCAGGGUCCCAAGGAGGGUGUGUUGCUUGGAGGUUUCUGAAAAAAAUUUAGAGCCGUGUUCUCAUGAUCAGGUUGGCCGGCCUCCCGGAGCUGGCCAAGCUCGCGGAAUUGGCAGAAUUCCCGGACAAGAUUUCAGUGUUCCUGUCAGGAACACAGUGACUGGAAGGUUUGGAUUUAAUGAUUCAGGAUCAGAAAAUGUAUUGAUUAGAAGCAAAAGGAAUGUUCAUACUGUCAUUGAUCAAAGUGACAAUUUUGAUUCUCCAUUAAAAUUACCGGAUUGGUCAUACAUUAAUCAGAAAUUAGAAAAAGAUUUGGAUUUAAAGAAACAAUAUCUUGCCUUACCAGUAAAAUAUGGAAGAAGUGAUAGAAAUCCAAAAUAUGAAAGACUCAAUCAC